RNAcentral lists this ribosomal RNA (395 nucleotides) under uncultured bacterium. Its description in RNAcentral is "partial 16S ribosomal RNA". It matches the Rfam family "Bacterial small subunit ribosomal RNA", at positions 523 to 918 of the family's 1533-position model. The record is from RNAcentral.
AUACGUAGGGUGCAAGCGUUAAUCGGAAUUACUGGGCGUAAAGCGUGCGCAGGCGGUUUUGUAAGACAGAGGUGAAAUCCCCGGGCUCAACCUGGGAACUGCCUUUGUGACUGCAAGGCUAGAGUACGGCAGAGGGGGAGGGAAUUCCGGGUGUAGCAGUGGAAUGCGUAGAUAUGAGGAGGAACACCGAUGGCGAAGGCAAUCCCCUGGGCCUGUACUGACGCUCAUGCACGAAAGCGUGGGGAGCAAACAGGAUUAGAUACCCUGGUAGUCCACGCCCUAAACGAUGUCAACUGGUUGUUGGGUCUUCAUUGACUCAGUAACGAAGCUAACGCGUGAAGUUGACCGCCUGGGGAGUACGGCCGCAAGGUUGAAACUCAAAUGAAUUGACGGGG